ACAGUACUUCCUCCAUCCACAAAUACUUGUCGGGAAAAUGGAUGUAUCUAGACGUAUUUUAAUUUUAGAUACAUCUAUUUUUAUCCAUUUAUGCGACAAGUAAUUAUGUACGGAGGGAAUACAUG
Molecule: non-coding RNA, 125 nt
Organism: Triticum aestivum (bread wheat)
Lineage: Eukaryota; Viridiplantae; Streptophyta; Magnoliopsida; Poales; Poaceae
Source: Rfam